CAACCGGGCAGACCUCGCGCGAGAGGGAUCGGAUCCUGAACCUUCAUCUUGGAAUCGAAUUUAGUAGCCAACACUUGCAACUCCAAAGACGCCUCUGAUUUUACUUUUUUUUUACACAAGAGUACUUAAACUAACACUGUACUAUCGAUACUAAAGCACAAUAAUUCAAAUAGUCCAAAACAAAUCAACCCAAAUCCAGACAUUUUGAUGCCUAUGUUAUUUGAUUAAACUACUGUUGCUAAUUACUUACUUAUUCCAAAACUAAUCGUUAUGGCAUAAAAAACCAAACGGCAAAACAAGCUCAUGUUAAUACCCCCUGUUACAGUGAAGCAAACCAUCAACCUAGAAAUUUCAAAUUUAUAAACCCACAACAUGUCAAUAUAAGCGUAACAGUCUGUAGUUCAUAGUUUCAAGUCCACGUGUAUAUACCAUUCAUAUAAUACAACACUUUUCAUGUCAAUAUAAACUAAUAUCAACUAUGUCUAAUUAACUAAUAUCUAUUUAGUAAAAAACAUCAGAAGACAUCCAAACAUAUAUAAAUCUGGCAAAUGUUUCAUUUCAACUUCAAUUUCCAUCUACAUUGAGAGAAUUCAAGGGAAGGUAUACCUGGAAACAGAACAAAAUUUCAGAAUAGGAGACAGCUUAGGGCAGUGAUCGAGCAGCAACAGUUCAAUACUCAAAACAGCCCAUGAAUAUAACGAUCAACCCAGAAAUGCUUAAACCAAGCAGAAAUUAACAAAUCCAAUUCAACACAGCAUCAAUUUCCACCGGAAAAGAAUAUAAAUGACCAAACAGCCAACAACAAAACUUUAGAACAGACUGAAGCAAACAAUUCUGAUUUGAAAUCAAUUGAGAGUGACCCAACACACUUUGGAACAGAUUCGGUAAUCAGCGGAAGAGAUGAGCAAUGCCUAGAGCCUCAAACUUCAGCUCGAAGAGCAAUGUAACAGUACCCAUUUUUUUGGGAUUUUUGAAAUUUUUAUAUUUUUUUUUGGUUUUUCUUUUGAAGAAUGCUAAGAUAUAAAGUAAUUUGAAUCUCAAACUUUAAUCUCAGAUCUGAAACUGGAAGGAGCUUUUUUGGGGGAAUUUUUGGGUUGCCAAACUUGCUCUUCAAGGCAUUUUAAUGCCUUUUUAUAUGCAUAAGGGAGGACAACCCUCAAUUCUGCUUUCACUUCAGUCCCUCCCUAUUUUCAACUUUAAUCCUUUAUUUUCCAACUUGUUCCUCAAGCCAAUCCCUUAACUUUUCUAAAAUCUCACUUGAAUCCUAUUCUAGAAGAUUCUAAGGAGUUCUAUUCUAAUUUACAGCAUUCUAUCUGAUUAUUAAGUGCCCAAACUGCCCUUGUUUACUUCUAAAAUUGCUUACCAAACUAUCCUCUAACUGAACAACAGUCAAUUGACUACCACACUAAGAGUUACCAGCGAUAUACAAACAGGUUCAAAUUCAUAUCCUAAAUCCAAACUAAUUAUUGAACUUCAAAUCCCCAAAUACUAUCAACAAUUAAAACAACUCAUCAAAUGACCAUCACAAACUUAGUAUGAAAUUUGGUUGAACCAUUUUGAACAAUUUAAAGAAAAAAUUUAGCGAACCAUUCUUAGCAUCUAAAUCAAGGCGAAACAAUUAAUUAACUAAAACGAAAAUUGAACCUAUUGGUAAAGCACCUCCACCUACGACCGUUAGGUCCUGGAUUCGAGUAACCAGGGAGUGAAAGUGUGGAAGCACUAUAGAUCCUUCUAAAUUGGGAGGGGUUUUAAAAAAAAAAAAGAACCUAUUGACAUCCCUUAUUUUAAAGUGAUAUCAAUCAAACACUAAACAUCUAAAUUAAGAUAAACACUGAACAUGGCUAAUUACUAACAAAAUCAUCAGUAAAUCAGCAAUUCGAAUGACAAUCCGAAUAAUAACAAACUCCAUUACUAAACCUAGAAAAUAAAACUGAGACUAAACCCAUUACUGACACAAAGCAAAUGCGGAAGAGAAAGCCAUAUGCAUAGAACAACAGAAAAACAAAAGAAAUAUUCUAAGGAACUCACUGUUUUGGGAAUCGAAUUAUUUUGAACUCGAAUUGGGCUCCCAAAUAACCUUACACGUCUGUUCUUGAGGGAAUAACCGUAUGAGGUUAUUUAGGAACUCGAAUCGACACCGGACAGUCCUCCAAUGAGACUCCCAUAUCUUCUCAGAAACCUUAGAUCCAAACAUGAAGAUUUAAAGGCGGAUUUGAGGGGUUUUGCGUUGGGAUUCGGGUAGAGGAGGUCAGGGAGAUUGCAUGGUACAAUUUUGGGCUGAUUUGGACCAAAUGUCGACUUAGCUGGAAAAUUUCAAUCUAAGAUUCGAGCAAUCUUGUUGUGAUUCGAAGGAAGCCAAUGUGAUAUUUGGAAUGAGGUUAUUGAAGAGGGUUGGUGAUGUUAUUUUGGGUGGGCACGGUGAAGGUGGCGUUUCCCGCUGACGAGAUAUCCGGCGAGUCUAAGGCUUGAUAUGAGGCAGAAAAGAACAUGUACAAGCAAGAAGACUGCUGUCUCUGAUGCUAAUACACAUUUCAGAUUGCUAUAUGGAAUUGCCCUAAUCGAACACAAACCGUUGGAUGAGAGGUGACA
RNAcentral lists this long non-coding RNA (2589 nucleotides) under Nicotiana benthamiana. RNAcentral describes it as "long non-coding RNA (NBEN_LNC013684)". Lineage: Eukaryota; Viridiplantae; Streptophyta; Magnoliopsida; Solanales; Solanaceae. The record is from RNAcentral.